RNAcentral lists this ribosomal RNA (183 nucleotides) under uncultured bacterium. RNAcentral's name for it is "partial 16S ribosomal RNA". It matches the Rfam family "Bacterial small subunit ribosomal RNA", at positions 173 to 353 of the family's 1533-position model. The record is from RNAcentral.
AUAAGAUUGUAGUAUCGCAUGAUAUAGCAAUUAAAGGAGCAAUUCGCUAUAAGAUGGACCGCGUCGCAUCAGCUAGUUGGUGAGGUGAUGGCUCACCAAGGCGACGAUGCGUAGCCGACCUGAGAGGGUGAUCGGCCACAUUGGGACUGAGACACGGCCCAGACUCCUACGGGAGGCAGCAUG